CUGGACUUGGGAGUUCCUGAGCCCAGCCUAGGCAGUAGGCAGAGAAAAACCGGGGCCCAUUCUUUCUCAAAUCAAAGCGCCUCAAAUGUGGAGAGGAGGAGGAGGGGACAAAUGCAAUGCACACUUGUAGAUAGACACAAGCCUGCUUUUUCACUCAACACUGACAUAUGUUAAGAACCCCAGCACUAUGCUGUUGCCUCAUCUAACCUGCACGAUGACACUUAAUUUUCUGUAUCUACUGGCACUUUCUGCCAUUAAACUAAUCACAGUAUUUCUGUUCAGCGAAGUUGAAAAACUAGAUACAAAAUCUACUGUCCAUUCAUUGUAACUCAACAUGCUCCUACGUGCAAAAAAGUGACCCACCUAUGGACACCAACUUGAUGUUCUCCUUGUCCAGGAACUCCAAGGCCACGGACACGUUCUCCAGCUGCAUCUGACGGAAGGUGGGCCUCUGGUUGUACUUUCGAAACAUCUUCUUCUGGGACAGGACCUCCAGAAGUCCGAUGAGUCGCAGCCCAUCGCUGAGGUCCGUCUGCAAGUUGCCAAUACGCUUGUUGACGCAUUUCAGGUGCUCGUUACACCAGCGAGUGAAUGUGUUUUGCUGGAUCUUCUUCCACGGGGCGUCCUCGGCCAGGUCUUUCUCCGUGGCGGGCAUCUCUACGUCCUUAUCCGUGGAGAGAGCGUUGGGAGCGGGCGCGGCGCUCUGGUGGAGUCGGGGGUGGGAACCACUCAUUUUUAUGGUGUCGGCUGUCUCUCGGUUCGCUGACUUGUUUCUGGGUGGAGUCUGUUCAACUUUUCUUUCUCGCUGCCACUCGCCUCGUCUGUUUGACAGAAAACAAUCAAGUUGAAGACGAUGAACACCGCAGGGAAGACUUAUUAUAGCGUGGAGCACAUUUUAUAAAAUCUAACGACAAAACAUUUUUGACGAAAGUACACCAGCGAACAUUAAAAUUCCUCAAGCAAACAUGACAGUCUACCUUGACGAAAGUGCACCAGCGAACAUUAAAAUUCCUCAAGCAAACAUGACAGUCUACCUUAUCAACCCAGGUGCGUAUUCUCCCGCUAGCUAACUGUGAAACAUAAGCCUAUUAGACAUGGGUUUCAUAUCCACAGCUGCCAUUCGUGACCCGAUUAACUGACAUUUUUCCACCCCAAGUGACUAACGCAUCCUUCCUAAAGAAUCAAAGAAUCAAAACUUGUAACUGAGUUAAAAAGUGCCAGCGGGCCAACCACACCCAAUCUGCCACACAGCCAGCAGAAGAAGUGAUGAACACAGCAAAUGCCUGUGAUGAUCCACGUCCAACAAACCACCCAUGUGUGAAAACCACCAGGGGGUAAUAAGGACUUGUUUAAAAGUUAAAGGCCUCCAAAGACGAAGAAAUAGUCCCUCCACUCUUCUGAGGUCCAGUGCUUUAAUUGGUGGACGAGUGGUGCAUCAGAUGGGCUGUGGGGGUGUGACCGACUGCUCCAACUCUUCCGCUGUACCGCGCCUCUUCUUUCGCAAGUGACGUCACAGCCGCGCCUAAAGGCUCUCAAAGGAGUGAUGUCAUCGCGUCGUGCGGUACACGUUACCUUUAUCGUGACCCUGUGGUGUGUGUGUGUGUGCGCGUGCAAGAGACCUAGACACCCCCCCCCCAAUCCCCCCAGCUGAGUGUGCCUUGCUCAGGAGGCAAGAAUGUUCUGCUUACAAUUCAUCAGUGGUGGGAGGACAGAAGCAGAGGAGGAGUGGAGAAAGAAGGAAGAGAGGACGGAUGGAGCAUGAAAGAAAAAAGAUAAAGAGAAGAACUAGGAAGGAGAAAGAAUUGAUGACUCUGGAAACGCUAUGAAAACUUCUACUUAUAAACCAGCUUUUUGGUGUGCAUGUGUGUGUGUGUGUGUGUGUGUGUGUGUGUGUGUGUGUGUGUGUGUUGUAUUAAUUACAGACAGAUGUUUGCUGUUGGGCUUCUGAGCCAGGCGGUCAGUGACAUCAUCCAUGUGGAGCUGGUAGAAGUUACAUUACCAGAUCUCACACACAAUAUUUUCAGACUGAUGUGGCUUUUUCCGGGAAAUACUAACAAAUAGUAAAAUAGCACAAAGAAAUCUAUAUAAUGAAUAUACCAAGAUCAAAAUGCACACAUGUGAAGUCAGAAUAUCAAGUCACUAAGAAUAUGCCACUGUCUCCCUCGGUAUCGCCGUAAAACGGGGGUCUCAAACACGUGGCCCGCGGGCCUUGAUAUGAAAGUUUAAUGUUAGUGCGGCCCACGCAAGUUUGAUAAGGAUGCUGUAUGGUAUCAUGUACCCAGAAAAAAUUAUUACGUUUGAUAAAUGUUCAUGUUAAAGGUUAAAUAACUGUUAAUAGUUAUCCUCCCUAUCCGUGUGGAAGUGGUAAGUUUUUGGCUAUUUAAGUUUAAAGGAAAUAACUUGGAGGCUACCGUUUAGGUCGCUAGCUCUCUAGUUUGCGAGUUAGCAUGUGUCUCAAGACCCUGCAGUUGCGCAAUAUGUUGUAAAUAAAAAGAGUAUAAAUGUGACUAUAGUCGUGUUUUGUCAUGUCUACAGGGCUCUAAUAAUGCUUUGUUAAUUUUAAUCUGAAAAAAAUAAUUUGUCUACCCACCAACUAUAUGUGGUUUCUUAAGUUUUUAUUAUUUGCUGUUUUAUUAUUAUUAUUAUAUGUAUUUAUUACUGAUUGAUUGAUUUUCUUUAUUCUUGAUUUGUUUAUUUAUUUUUCAUCUUAUUUUGUGUAGAAAAAUAAAAAAAGAUAUUUGAGAACAGUGGAAUGUUUUAUCAGAGCUUUUCUUGUAGAAAAUUGGAACCAAAGCAAAGUUUUUUUAUUUUAUUUUUUUAAUAAAUGCGUUUUUUUUUUGGGAAAACCUGAUGCGGUCCAGUCUCACCCAGACCUGAGCUCCAGUAAAUUGAGUUUGAGACCCCUGCCGUAAAACAUCCCUCACAUUUCAGCAACCAUUUUAAUCACAUGAUAAAAGUACUGUUUUAAAGUAAUGAAACUUGGUGAUGCUGUAGUAGUCAGUGUACUACAGAUAAUUUUACCAUAAAGAAAUCCAGCAUGUUCUCACCUCCAACUUGAAGGAGCCCAAACAGGGAGACUCAUGACAUGCUGAGGAAGGUGAAGGUGAUGGAGUGGCCACCUAUAUUUUAGCGUAUUAGUUGGUUUUCCAAGUUGCACACUCUUUUGUCCCUUGAGAUGAUAUAAUAAAAUGGUUGCUGAAAUGUGAUUUACUCACGUUUGUGAGAUAUGAUGGCACAUGUGCAGGUGUACAGUAUCUACGUAGUGAAACUCAAAACAAUUACUGUAUAGAUCCUAUAUUUUAUUAAUAUACACAUUUUUUCUUCAAUUUUCAAUUCAUAGCUCAGGCCUCAUUCUGGACUACCAGACUAAAUUCAGUAUCUCAUGAGACAUCAACCAGAUGUGAGGUUAUUUGUUCAUCCACAUCACUUAUCUCCAAUACCCUUUAAUCUAUCCAAGCUGCCUUUGGGCUAGAGGGCUAGGGUACACCCUAGGCUGAUCAAUCACAAGACACACGGGGCCAGACAUUCAUAUUCACACCAUUGAACAAUUUAGAGUCCUCAGUGAACCGCAGAACAUGCAGAAAGGCUCAAAUAAACAAAUAAAGCUCCACGAUGCUGCUAUGUGAAUUUUAAUUGUUAGUUAAAUCUGUCAGUUCACAGUCAAAAAAGCUUUGAUGUCAGCCAUCUUUAAUGUAAUCAGGUUAAAAGGACACUCCACUCUUGGGGAAAAACACUUUAUUACAUGUAAAAUGUGAUGUAAGAAUGUUCUAUGUGAAGUAUUUCCAUAAUGCCUCAUAUUAACUCUCUAGCAAGAUCUCAGUGUAUAGACUGGUCAUAUAUCUCAUCUCGUUUCAUAUUAUCUACAUACUGUAUUGUAUAGAACUCUGGGAAAAACUGUUGAUUUUGUUAAUACUUGGGUUGUUUAUAUUGUUUAUUUUUCUAUAUUGUGUAUUUUGUACUGCUUAACUGAUUCUGUACUCUUGCUGCUGUGCAAUGCAAAUUUCCCCACUGAGGGACGAAUAAAGGCAUAUCUUAAUAUCUUAAUCUUUCUUUUUUGCCUAUAGACUAUU
This is a long non-coding RNA of Doryrhamphus excisus (bluestripe pipefish), 4070 nucleotides long. RefSeq lists it as uncharacterized. The record is from RefSeq and is a predicted model, not a curated record. NCBI's taxonomy places the organism in Eukaryota, Metazoa, Chordata, Actinopteri, Syngnathiformes, Syngnathidae.